UUUUAGUUGAUCUCAAUCCUUGAUGGGAGAGAGGGAGGAAUAAAGCUGGGCAAGCAAGCAAAGAGCCCUGGAUCAUUGAAUUGAUGCUUUAAUUUCUGCUGUUGGCUGUUAAUAAUUUGGAUUAUUUAUGUUUAUAAAUGAUGCAGAUCUGUUUACAAGGUUUGUAGAUACUUUUUUUCAGUGGUGUUCUAAUGAAGUUAUGGCAUCUGUCUUAAUUAGUUUCUUAAAUACAUUUACUACUUAAUGGUUUUGAAACAACUGUUUAAUUUUUAAAAUUUUUGAAAACUUGCUAAUAACCUUUGUUCAGAAUUUAGUAGAUUGUUUAAUGCAGGACAUCAACGACAUAAUGAAAGAUGCUUGAAAUGCUUUUGUUAUUUCAGGCAAAUCAAAUUAAAUCAAACUAUCAAACUACAAGAGAAUUUUAGUCCUUUUUGUUUUUGUCUAAACAUGUUAGUUCAGUGAUGUCUUGGUGAACUGUGAGUGAACUGUAUUGAUUUUAUUUUUUUCUAAUAAAUCCUUAGAAACCUUCAUACAGCAUGAGGGCUGUUGGCAUUUUGAAAAAGGUUAAUAAGUAGAAGCAUACAUGUUUUCCUUUUGUUUUUGAAACUUGUUUGUAAACAUAAAUAAAUAUGCCCUUUUAUUAAAUAAAUACACAGCAAUUUUUUUUAAAAAGAACUUUCAGCUUCUUUACUCAAUUCUGCCUAUGUGGUGCAUCGGUCUGUUCUCUUUAACUGCAAUUGGAAUAAAUUUCAAGAUGGUAACAGCCCCAUGAGGUACCCUCUUUAAUUCCUUGGUGGCAGUCUACUAGAAGCAGAUUAAGAAAAUCAUUGCAGUUUGACAUGUUCUUCGUAGAGUUUAUUUAGUUUGCCUAAAAUAGUCUCAGUUUAAAAAAAUAAUAAUAACGACCGCCAUUGUCUCAGAUACAUUUGUUUUCAUUCUUAAGUGGCCAAAUAACAAAUUAGUUAAAAUGAUAAUGUGAAAAGAUGGGAAAGGCCCUAAAAAUAUAUAUUUAGAUGUAUUACUUAACGUAUGCUGGAAUGCCUGUCUCUAAGCCAGUUGGAUUUUUCAAGUCUUUAUUUCUUUGGUCUGCCUUCUCCCCUCUUUGGCCUCUGUCGUUACCAUUUAGGAACUGGCACUGUGUUAGGGCCCAGAUUUCACCAGAUAUAUAAUCCUCAGGCUGACAUAAAGUUUACAAGGACUACUACAACAUCUGAAAAUGCUGACCCAGCAAAGAAACAUUUAGUUGAUGGUGCUUGAUAUUUUUGGUGGGUCGGGGAGAAUCUUUUUCUCUCCAUCAAUCCUUUGCAGUUAUCCUCUGCAAGACUUAGAAACACGUUGGCUCUGUCAGCAUUGGUAAUUGUACAUUACUCAUCAGGUAUUUAGAGUGAAUCAUACUUAUUCAUUUUUCAACUUAAGGCAAUGGCUUUUUACACCAACUCUAAUCCAUAAACGGGUCUUAUGACAUCCAUGA
RNAcentral lists this long non-coding RNA (1471 nucleotides) under Bos taurus (domestic cattle). RNAcentral's name for it is "long non-coding RNA NONBTAT020606". Lineage: Eukaryota; Metazoa; Chordata; Mammalia; Artiodactyla; Bovidae. The record is from RNAcentral.